Long non-coding RNA from Erinaceus europaeus (western European hedgehog), 357 nucleotides. RefSeq lists it as uncharacterized. Lineage: Eukaryota; Metazoa; Chordata; Mammalia; Eulipotyphla; Erinaceidae. The transcript is spliced from 2 exons. The record is from RefSeq and is a predicted model, not a curated record.
CUGUGGCCUGGUCUUCUGGGUCCUUUUUGCCCCUGAGGGACCAGAGAUGAAAACUUUUGGACAAUAUGGGGGAGCUGCCAGAGUUGUGUAGGAAGAGGUCACCUCUGAAGGUCUGUGUAGUCACUCUUUUGGAGGAUUCCUGCUGGCCCUGGAGAAUGCCCUCCUUUUCAGGGGGAGCAGACAUCCUGGCAACUAGAUGGAACAGGAGACAGACUGUUGUUGCCUGGACCCCAAAAGAAACCCUUUCAACCAAAACAGUCCCAGACAAGAGCACUCCAGCUCACUGCAUGAUCUUGGAAAAGGCUCACCUGUUUCCAUGCCUGUUUUGUUCCUUUUACAAUAAAGAGAUAAACUGGG